AAAAUUCAGACUUUCUCGCCUUCUGUUAACUACUGUUUUCCUCUUCCUUCAAAAUAUACUAAACUCUGUCCUGAAUCUCAAUAAAAUUUAAGAUUUUUCUUUCAUAAUUUUGUGCGACAAAUGGGUGUUGCUGUCCUUAAUCCUCGGGACUGUCUCCAGAAUCCUUUGUCGUUCCGACAAGAUCUGAUAUCACCCCUCCCUCGCAUGAAA
RNAcentral lists this unclassified non-coding RNA (210 nucleotides) under Hevea brasiliensis (rubber tree). Lineage: Eukaryota; Viridiplantae; Streptophyta; Magnoliopsida; Malpighiales; Euphorbiaceae. The record is from RNAcentral.